This 16-nucleotide small RNA is filed under the name Arabidopsis thaliana (thale cress). RNAcentral describes it as "ATSL069230". Lineage: Eukaryota; Viridiplantae; Streptophyta; Magnoliopsida; Brassicales; Brassicaceae. The record is from RNAcentral.
AAAACCGGCUUCGGGA